CUACCCAAAUCCCCUGGCCACUGGCCCCUGCGUUUCCUAUCGUUUCGGUUCGGCGCAGGCGCCGCUACCGCCUCCUCUCGACCGCUCGCCUUCCCGUUCGCCAUGUCGUUGCUCGCCGCGGCCAUUCCCAGCACUUCCUCCCACUUCUCCGCACCCUUCCUCCCCUCAUUCCACAUGCCCCGCAAGAACCUCACCGCCCCACUCCACCGGAUCCGCCGUCCGCGGCCGUUCACCGUCGUCUCCUCCGUCCCAGACCCCGCGGCGGGGCCGGUGGAAUACACGCCCUGGCUCAUCGCCGGCCUCGGCAACCCAGGCAACAAGUACUACGGCACGCGGCACAAUGUGGGGUUUGAGAUGGUGGAUCGCAUCGCGGCGGAGGAGGGGAUUACGAUGAACACAAUCCAGUCCAAGUCGCUUCUGGGAAUUGGUUCAAUUGGCGAGGUGCCAGUCUUGGUGGUAAAACCGCAAUCAUACAUGAACUACAGUGGAGAGGCAAUUGGACCUCUUGCAGCCUAUUAUCAAGUACCAUUACGGCACAUCCUCUUGAUUUAUGAUGAUACAAGUCUGCCCAAUGGUGUACUGCGGCUUCAAAAGAAAGGUGGUCAUGGUCGCCACAACGGGCUACAGAAUGUGAUUGAGCAUUUGGAUGGUCGCAGAGAAUUUCCUCGUUUAUCUAUAGGCAUUGGUAGCCCACCUGGAAAAAUGGACCCUCGGGCUUUCCUUCUGCAGAAGUUCAGUUCAGAGGAACGAGUCCAGGUUUGUAAUACACGCGGGUAAAUGGGUGCAGGUUUAAUAUUACCUUGCGGGUAUGGAUUAGUAAACCCUCUACCCGCGGGUUUCAUACCCAUUGCCAUUCCAAGGAGAUUUUUGAAUCCCAGCUUGAAAAUCGCUCGCACCAGGAGUUGAAGCUAGAGACCUGUUCACAACAAUACCAAAUCAAACUGUUGUUAAUAUGUGUGUGUGUGUGGAGCAGUGUUUAACAUCUCAUUUUUACUGUUUCAAAAUCUCGUUUUGACCAAAAAAGUUCACUUUUGUGUUGUUAAAUUUGAAGAGCAUAUUGGGCUUCUCAAACUUUACUUUAUCACCCUAGGAUAACUGUUGUUUACUUAACAUCGAGCUACUGAUUCUGUAGUAGUCCACCCUUUUCUAGUACGAACUAUAUGAUAUAACUGCUCUUGGAUUGUUGAUUUAUACCUGCUUUAUAAAUUUGAUGAAGAUCGACACUGCUCUGGAGCAAGGGGUGGACGCUGUGAGAACCCUUGUGCUUAAGGGUUUUAGUGGGAGUACUGAAAGAUUCAACCUUGUGCAGAAGUACAAGUUCCACAGGGUUUGAAUGUUUGAGGAUCUGUGAAAUACUUGGGCUUACUUCUGCAAACAACCUGAUACACAUCAAUAUCAUUUGAAGUGUUGGAUGUGGUGAUUUGCUGUUCUGAACUAUGCAUGAGCUUACAAGUUCGAUGAAUCUGUUUGUUAAUCAGUAUAGCUGACAAUUGGCAACCUUCUAUUGUUCCUUCGGUUUUUGCAUAACACUCUAGGAUCUGGAGAAACGGCAACCAGUACUUAGCUCCACUUGACUAUAAUCUGUAGAAGCCAGAGAUAACUUGUGAUGUGAUAUAUCCAAAUAACAAUAAGGGGGCUUGUCUAAUACAUCGAACAAGAUGUGAUGUUCGUCAAAGGAGUAGUUCUGACUUCAGUUUCAAGACAUAAAAACAUCUAAUAAUCGCACUUCCACUGCCUUUUGCUGUUAAAGAACAUGUGCCUAGUUCUUUUCAAAUUGAGAAGUGGGCUCUAAAGUUUUACAUGUUACAUUUAUAAAGCCCUUUCUUCCACCA
RNA transcript from Zea mays, 1832 nucleotides. It is a transcript of the gene named chloroplastic group IIB intron splicing facilitator CRS2, chloroplastic, with no coding region annotated. The record is from RefSeq and is marked validated. The transcript has 9 exons. Lineage: Eukaryota; Viridiplantae; Streptophyta; Magnoliopsida; Poales; Poaceae.